GCGCCCAUAGCUCAGUUGGAUAGAGCACUUGGCUUCGAACCAAGGGGUCGGGAGUUCGAAUCUCUCUGGGCGCA
Molecule: transfer RNA, 74 nt
Filed under: Nitrospirota bacterium
Lineage: Bacteria; Pseudomonadati; Nitrospirota
Also listed under: 1 other name
Description: Nitrospirae bacterium (groundwater metagenome) tRNA-Arg
Rfam family: tRNA
About the family: Transfer RNA (tRNA) molecules are approximately 80 nucleotides in length.
Source: RNAcentral